This 492-nucleotide ribosomal RNA is filed under the name uncultured bacterium. RNAcentral describes it as "partial 16S ribosomal RNA". It matches the Rfam family "Bacterial small subunit ribosomal RNA", at positions 29 to 507 of the family's 1533-position model. The record is from RNAcentral.
AGUGAACGCUGGCGGUAGGCCUAACACAUGCAAGUCGAACGGCAGCACAGUAAGAGCUUGCUCUUACGGGUGGCGAGUGGCGGACGGGUGAGGAAUACAUCGGAAUCUACUUUUUCGUGGGGGAUAACGUAGGGAAACUUACGCUAAUACCGCAUACGACCUACGGGUGAAAGCAGGGGAUCUUCGGACCUUGCGCGAUUGAAUGAGCCGAUGUCGGAUUAGCUAGUUGGCGGGGUAAAGGCCCACCAAGGCGACGAUCCGUAGCUGGUCUGAGAGGAUGAUCAGCCACACUGGAACUGAGACACGGUCCAGACUCCUACGGGAGGCAGCAGUGGGGAAUAUUGGACAAUGGGCGCAAGCCUGAUCCAGCCAUACCGCGUGGGUGAAGAAGGCCUUCGGGUUGUAAAGCCCCUUUGUUGGGGAAGAAAAGCAGCAGGUUAAUACCCCGCUGUUCUGACGGUACCCAAAGAAUAAGCACCGGCUAACUUCGUG